UGCCAGCCGCCGCGGUAAUACGGAGGGGGCUAGCGUUGUUCGGAAUUACUGGGCGUAAAGCGCGCGUAGGCGGUUUAGCAAGUUGAAGGUGAAAUCCCGGGGCCCAACCCCGGAACUGCCUCCAAAACUGGCGAACUUGAGUACGGGAGAGGAAAGUGGAAUUCCGAGUGUAGGGGUGAAAUCCGUAGAUAUUCGGAGGAACACCAGUGGCGAAGGCGGCUUUCUGGACCGAUACUGACGCUGAGACGCGAAAGCGUGGGGAGCAAACAGGAUUAGAUA
This 279-nucleotide ribosomal RNA is filed under the name uncultured bacterium. RNAcentral describes it as "partial 16S ribosomal RNA". It matches the Rfam family "Bacterial small subunit ribosomal RNA", at positions 506 to 784 of the family's 1533-position model. The record is from RNAcentral.